GCUAAUAUAGUUUAUUUAAGAAUAUUAAUUUGUGGGGUUAGAGGAACUAAAUUAAGUUUUUAGCA
Molecule: transfer RNA, 65 nt
Filed under: Scolytinae sp. BMNH 1043123
Lineage: Eukaryota; Metazoa; Arthropoda; Insecta; Coleoptera; Curculionidae
Description: tRNA-His
Source: RNAcentral